This is a non-coding RNA of Salmo salar (Atlantic salmon), 118 nucleotides long. The record is from RefSeq and is a predicted model, not a curated record. NCBI's taxonomy places the organism in Eukaryota, Metazoa, Chordata, Actinopteri, Salmoniformes, Salmonidae.
UGACUCUGGUUUCUCUUCAGCCGCACACAAACUUCGCCUUUUACUAAAGACUUCCGUGGAAAGGAACACCACAAGUUCAAUGAAACUAUUUUUGGAAGGCUUUACUUCUGGCAAACCG